This 747-nucleotide ribosomal RNA is filed under the name uncultured bacterium. RNAcentral's name for it is "bacterial SSU rRNA". It matches the Rfam family "Bacterial small subunit ribosomal RNA", at positions 66 to 815 of the family's 1533-position model. The record is from RNAcentral.
ACGAGCGACCUCGAUUCGUCGGGGAAGCUAGUGGCAGACGGCUGAGUAACACGUAAGUAACCUGCCCUGAAGAGGGGGAUAAUCUCGAGAAAUCGGGCCUAAUACCCCGUAAGCUUCUCUUCAACAUGUUGGAGAGAAGGAAAGGUUCUCGAUUCGUCGGGCGCCGCUUUAGGAGGGGCUUGCGACCUAUCAGGUAGUUGGUGGGGUAAUGGCCUACCAAGCCGUAGACGGGUAACCGGUGUGAGAGCAUGAUCGGUCAGAGGGGGACUGAGACACGGCCCCCACUCCUACGGGAGGCAGCAGCAGGGAAUCUUGCGCAAUGGGCGAAAGCCUGACGCAGCGACACCGCGUGGGGGAAGAAGGCUCUUGGGUUGUAAACCCCUUUUCUCGGGGAAGAGUAAGGACGGUACCCGAGGAAUAAGGUUCGGCUAACUACGUGCCAGCAGCCGCGGUAACACGUAGGAACCGAGCGUUGUCCGGAUUUACUGGGCGUAAAGGGCGAGUAGGUGGCCCGUUAAGUCUUGUGUGAAAUCUCCCGGCUCAACUGGGAGGGGUCAUGAGAUACUGGCAGGCUCGAGGGCAGUAGAGGAAAGUGGAAUUCCCGGAGGAGUGGUGGAAUGCGUAGAUACCGGGAGGAACACCAGUGGCGAAAGCGACUUUCUGGGCUGUUCCUGACACUGAGGCGCGAAAGCAUGGGGAGCAAACCGGAUUAGAUACCCGGGUAGUCCAUGCCCUAAACGAUGGAUA